RNAcentral lists this ribosomal RNA (439 nucleotides) under uncultured bacterium. RNAcentral's name for it is "bacterial SSU rRNA". It matches the Rfam family "Bacterial small subunit ribosomal RNA", at positions 355 to 786 of the family's 1533-position model. The record is from RNAcentral.
UGGGGAAUAUUGCGCAAUGGGCGAAAGCCUGACGCAGCGACGCCGCGUGAGGGAUGAAGGUCUUCGGAUCGUAAACCUCUGUCAGCAGGGAAGAAAUUUUAGUGUGCUAAUCAGCAUUAAAUUGACGGUACCUGCAAAGGAAGCACCGGCUAACUCCGUGCCAGCAGCCGCGGUAAUACGGAGGGUGCGAGCGUUAAUCGGAAUUACUGGGCGUAAAGCGCUCGUAGGUGGUAUGUCAAGUCAAGGGUGAAAUCCCCGCGCUCAACGUGGGAACUGCCUUUGAAACUGGCAGACUGGAGUGUGUGAGAGGAUAGUGGAAUUCCGGGUGUAGGAGUGAAAUCCGUAGAUAUCUGGAGGAACAUCAGUGGCGAAGGCGACUAUCUGGCACAUAACUGACACUGAGGAGCGAAAGCGUGGGUAGCAAACAGGAUUAGAUACC